CAGGACUGCAGUGACCAGCAAAUGUAUCUACUUGCCAGAUGUCAAGCUGGAACUCAGAGAAUACACCAUCUUUUGAGAAGAAGGAGCCCUGUGCUGUGACAGAGUAUCGAGAGAAAUUCAGAGGAUCAUUGCAGAUGAAACAUCACAUCAUUGACAAGAGUUUAAAGCUUUAACAUUGUACCAGGAGAGUCAUUGAGAGUAAUACUGUGAAGUUCAGGAUAGAGAAGAGAUCAAUUAUAAAUCCCCAAAUGAGGCAAGCAUCCAAUACAGGAUUAUUCCAACUGAGGGAUUGAUGCAUUGGCUCACUGCCACUUCAGCUAGAACAAAUUUAAAUUCAUAGCACUGCUGGUGGGAAAAUACAAGUAGGACCCACUACAGUUGCCAGCCCCCAUCAAGGUGGUAAAUACACCACUGUAACUACUAAAAGGUUGCAAAAGGAAAGCCAGCCUGUAGUUUAUCUAUAACAGCUUAAAGAGUUACCAAGCCUUCCCUUAAUCAUUUUUGUUUUCAUGAUUUAACACCUGAUUGUUUGAUAUUGGUAAUUUUAAACAAAUUUUUCACUUCCUCUAAAAUAUAAACCUGUCACAGUG
Molecule: long non-coding RNA, 590 nt
Filed under: Homo sapiens (human)
Lineage: Eukaryota; Metazoa; Chordata; Mammalia; Primates; Hominidae
Description: HSALNT0045297
Source: RNAcentral